UUGAAACUAGAGACAGAGUGAGUGAGGGCAUUAUUUUCAGUUGAAACCAUUUCUGUCUAUUCAUUUUCCCAAUGGAGCUUCGUCGUAGUCAAUGCAUUUCCAACGCAAGAUCAUCUGGACCAAUUUUGAGGAGAUACAUAGAAGAAGAAAAUGCAGGAGAAUCGAGAAGUAUUGUUGUUGAUGAAGUAAUAGAGAACAAAGAUAACAAUGAACCGCCAAUGGUUCAGGUUCCGCAGCAGCCACUUCCCAUUGAUAACUAUAGGGAAAAAGAUUAUAAGAGUGAAAUGUUGAAUGAAACUGCGGAGGCCUCCUCUGAUUUCAUUCUACCUUUGCUUAGAUUCCAAAAGGAAUGGUUGGCUUGGGCUUUGAAUCAGGAACAAAUAUACAGAGGUGGAGUGCUUGCGGAUGAAAUGGGAAUGGGAAGGACCAUUGAAGCAAUUGCCCUUGUCCUUGCCAAACGAGAACUCCAACAAAAUGGAUUUGUAUUUUCACAAUCACCUUUACCAUCUUCUUCUGAAGCGUUGCCAUUGAUUGAAGGAACUCUUGUCAUUUGCCCCGUGGUAGCUAUCACUCAGUGGGUCAAUGAGAUUGACCGAUGUACUUUGAAAGGAAGUACCAAGGUUCUAGUUUAUCAUGGGGCUGACAGAAUUAAGAAUUGGGAACAGUUCUCCAAGUAUGAUUUUGUGAUCACUUCAUACUCUAUUGUUGAAUCUGAGUGCAGGAAUAUGUCGAAUUGGCGUGACAGAAAUUGUGAAGGACCUGGUUUUGUUAGACAAGCAAAACACUCCAAGCAAGUUAAGAAAAAUAAAUCAAAUGCUAUGCCAGCUCUACACGCUGUAAAGUGGCAGCGAAUCGUACUAGAUGAGGCACGCUAUAUAAAAGAUAAACGUUCUAAAACCACUCAAGCAGUUUUUGCUUUAGAAUCUACAUACAAAUGGGCACUAAGUGGCACUCCAUUUCAGAACCGUCCUCGAGAGUUGUAUACUCUGAUAAGGUUCCUACAGAUAAAUCCUUAUUCCUAUUACUUUUGCAAACACUGUAAUUGUAGAGUUCUUCAGCACAGGUAUGAAUUAUGUUCAGACUGCUCCCAUGAUUUUCGGGAUCAUUUCAAUUGGUGGAAGAAAUACAUUGCUAAACCAAUUGAAUCUUCUCGAUCCAAUGAUAUUUGUGGGAAAAAAACUAUGAUAUUGCUCACACACACAAUUUUGAAAAACUUGGUACUAAGACGCACAAAAAUAGGCAGGGCUGCUGAUCUUGCACUUCCACCUAGAAUUGUUUCAGUGAGAAGGGAUUUCUUGGAUAGAGAAGAGCUCGACUAUUAUGAAACAUUAUACAAGGAAUUUCAAGCAAAAUAUAAUAGAUAUGUUAGAGAAAAUACUAUGGGGGAUCACCGUUUUGAAAUCGUUGGCCUAAUCACACGGCUGCGUCAGGUAACAAAUCAUCGAUACCUUGUGGAAUUUUCUCAAAAAGAGGAGUUAAAUGCUGAAGAUCUGGCAAGUAGUGCAGCUGACAAACAAGAAAGUGGCAUUUGUCAUAAGCCAGAAGAAGAUCCUGUUGAUUUAACUUCCAACAAGGAUGUUAGGGAUGACGAUGAUAAAAUCAUGGUUAAAUAUUUCAGAUCCUCAAGAAUUUUAAAAAACAUUGAGCUUGAGAACUUUCAGACAAGCACUAAAUUAGAGGCUUUGAGAGAAGAAAUCAGAUUCAUGAUUGAAAGAGAUGGUUCUGCAAAAGGGAUUGUUUUUAGCGGGUUCUCAUUAUUCGUAGAUCUUAUAUACUACUCUUUGUACAAGUCUGGAGUAUCUUGCGUUCGGUUGAAUGAAAACAUGUCACAGGACGCACGGGAUGCUGUUGUUCAUAGAUUUAAUGUUGAACCAGACUGCAGAAUUUUUGUCAUGACCUUUAUGGCUGGUGGUAUUGCACUCAAUUUGACAGUAGCAUCACAUGUUUUCAUUAUGGACCCUUCUUGGAAUCCAGCUUUAGAGCUUCAGGCUCUAGACAGAAUUCACGGAAUUCACGGAAUUGGGCAAUAUAAACCUACAAGGUUUUGGUUCUUGCUCUUUAGCAUUCUCAAGUUAAAAAAAUGAAAGUAACAACCUAUGUAGCACCGGCGCUUCAGAAUAAAGGCGUGUCCCUUGUCCAUCUGUGUGUCAUAGUUGAGGAGAUGAUUUUGAAGGUACAGGAGAAGAAGAAACAAGUUGUUCAAGGGUAAGUGUGAUGCGUGAAGUAUAGAGUUAAAGUUGAUCGAAAUGGUUCUUCUGAAGCUGUGGAGCAAUUGUCAUUUGGGGACUUUGAAAUCUAUAUAUAUGCUAAAUGAGUAGAACAAAAAUGUAUUUGUUUAAUGUAUGAACAUCUAUAUCGAAUAAUGUAUGAACUUCAAAUGAAUUGCGUCUA
RNA transcript from Lathyrus oleraceus (garden pea), 2391 nucleotides. It is a transcript of the gene named ATP-dependent helicase rhp16, with no coding region annotated. The transcript has 13 exons. NCBI's taxonomy places the organism in Eukaryota, Viridiplantae, Streptophyta, Magnoliopsida, Fabales, Fabaceae. The record is from RefSeq and is a predicted model, not a curated record.